Molecule: ribosomal RNA, 433 nt
Filed under: uncultured bacterium
Lineage: Bacteria
Description: partial 16S ribosomal RNA
Rfam family: Bacterial small subunit ribosomal RNA
Source: RNAcentral
AACGAACGCUGGCGGCAUGCCUAACACAUGCAAGUCGAACGAGACCUUCGGGUCUAGUGGCGCACGGGUGCGUAACGCGUGGGAACCUGCCCUUAGGUUCGGAAUAACUCCCCGAAAGGGGUGCUAAUACCGGAUAAUUUCUUCGGACCAAAGAUUUAUCGCCUUUGGAUGGGCCCGCGUUGGAUUAGCUAGUUGGUAGGGUAAAAGCCUACCAAGGCGACGAUCCAUAGCUGGUCUGAGAGGAUGAUCAGCCACACUGGGACUGAGACACGGCCCAGACUCUUACGGGAGGCAGCAGUGGGGAAUAUUGGACAAUGGGCGAAAGCCUGAUCCAGCAAUGCCGCGUGAGUGAUGAAGGCCUUAGGGUUGUAAAGCUCUUUUACCCGGGAUGAUAAUGACAGUACCGGGAGAAUAAGCUCCGGCUAACUCCGUG